AUUCGUAUAACUAAGUUUAAGUGCUGGGUUCUUACCUCAGCAAUGUGUUAUUACUACGAAUG
RNAcentral lists this transfer RNA (62 nucleotides) under Raillietina tetragona. RNAcentral describes it as "tRNA-Lys". The record is from RNAcentral. Lineage: Eukaryota; Metazoa; Platyhelminthes; Cestoda; Cyclophyllidea; Davaineidae.